GUUAAUCAACUUUGAUAGAAACUGUAAACAGAAGGAAGACAGUAGCCAAAACUUACUUGUUGAACCGGUGAGACUGAUGCUUCCCUGUGAUUUUCGAAGUCAAUUUAAAGGCCGAUGUAGUGUUCUCAUUAAAACCAUUGAAUGAUAUAGUUAUUAUUUUUCUUUUUUUUAAUUAUUGAGUUUCUGUUCUAGCAAUGGUUGGAUCGGUAUCUUCUCAGGAUACAUGGCCCCGGUGGUUCUCCGUUCCAAUGGAUUUCUCGUAAUAAUGAGAUGUUAGAUAGUUUUGGAGGGUGCAUUAAAAGCCUACAGGAGCAAGGCGUUGAAAGAAAUUCUGUUGCGAAAACACUGCUUGGAUGUUUUGUAGAUGUAUUCAAUAUGUACCACAACCUCGCAGAGCUAAGGGAUCCGUUUGGGGACACCUGUUCUUCCCUUCAAGGAUAAACAGUCAGAUACUGCCACAAACGAUCAACUGGAUCAAAUUAGGCAGUCGAUUAAUAAACUAUUCACAGUUGAGGAAAGCGUCCUAGUUGAAUUUAUAGCCAUGCACAAAACGGUUGCAGAAGUUUCUUAUAUGCUAGGAGAUGCUUUUACAACUGGUGGUACUGGUAUGAGGGGUUUGAGUGAUGUUACGCAUCCUGGGACUUCAAGCAAGCACGGUGACCAAUUAAUGGAUUUCAAUCUCAAUGAUUUCCCUUGGGAUAAGCACAAUGUUCCUAGUGCUACGAUUGGU
Long non-coding RNA from Papaver somniferum (opium poppy), 730 nucleotides. RefSeq lists it as uncharacterized. The transcript is spliced from 3 exons. Lineage: Eukaryota; Viridiplantae; Streptophyta; Magnoliopsida; Ranunculales; Papaveraceae. The record is from RefSeq and is a predicted model, not a curated record.